RNAcentral lists this transfer RNA (85 nucleotides) under Felis catus (domestic cat). It matches the Rfam family "tRNA". From Rfam's summary of the family: Transfer RNA (tRNA) molecules are approximately 80 nucleotides in length. Their secondary structure includes four short double-helical elements and three loops (D, anti-codon, and T loops). Further hydrogen bonds mediate the characteristic L-shaped molecular structure. tRNAs have two regions of fundamental functional importance: the anti-codon, which is responsible for specific mRNA codon recognition, and the 3' end, to which the tRNAs corresponding amino acid is attached (by aminoacyl-tRNA synthetases). tRNAs cope with the degeneracy of the genetic code in two manners: having more than one tRNA (with a specific anti-codon) for a particular amino acid; and 'wobble' base-pairing, i.e. permitting non-standard base-pairing at the 3rd anti-codon position. The record is from Rfam by way of RNAcentral. Lineage: Eukaryota; Metazoa; Chordata; Mammalia; Carnivora; Felidae.
GCCUGGGUGGCUCAGUCGGUUGAGCAUCUGACUUCAGCUCAGGUCAUGAUCCUGCAGUUUGUGGGUUCUAGCCCCGCAUCACGCU